GGGCUAUGACGAGUCGAUCCGAGUUUAUCCGCGCUGCUGAUGACAAACAGCCGUGAUGACGUGUACUCGAAGGUUGAAUUUCUUGAUCUGAGUCC
Volvox carteri f. nagariensis is the source of this 95-nucleotide small nucleolar RNA. NCBI's taxonomy places the organism in Eukaryota, Viridiplantae, Chlorophyta, Chlorophyceae, Chlamydomonadales, Volvocaceae. The record is from Rfam.